UACGGGGGGAGCAAGCGUGGUUCGGAUUUACUGGGCGUAAAGGGCGCGUAGGCGGUCAGGACAGGUCAGUUGGGAAAUCUCCGGGCUUAACUCGGAAAGGUCAACUGAUACUGUGCGACUAGAGUGCGGAAGGGGCAACUGGAAUUCUUGGUGUAGCGGUGAAAUGCGUAGAUAUCAGGAGGAACACCGAUGGCGAAGGCAGCUGCCUGGCCUAACACUGACGCUGAGGUGCGAAAGCGUGGGGAGCGAACGGG
Molecule: ribosomal RNA, 254 nt
Filed under: uncultured bacterium
Lineage: Bacteria
Description: partial 16S ribosomal RNA
Rfam family: Bacterial small subunit ribosomal RNA
Source: RNAcentral